GGGCCCGUGGUGCAACGGCAGCACGCCGCUCCUGCAAAGCGGAGAUGGGGGUUCGAGUCCUCACGGGUCCA
RNAcentral lists this transfer RNA (71 nucleotides) under Euryarchaeota archaeon RBG_16_68_13. Its description in RNAcentral is "tRNA-Ala". It matches the Rfam family "tRNA". Rfam says of the family: Transfer RNA (tRNA) molecules are approximately 80 nucleotides in length. Their secondary structure includes four short double-helical elements and three loops (D, anti-codon, and T loops). The record is from RNAcentral. Lineage: Archaea; Methanobacteriati; Methanobacteriota.